This 484-nucleotide ribosomal RNA is filed under the name uncultured bacterium. RNAcentral's name for it is "partial 16S ribosomal RNA". It matches the Rfam family "Bacterial small subunit ribosomal RNA", at positions 28 to 507 of the family's 1533-position model. The record is from RNAcentral.
AUUGAACGCUGGCGGCAUGCUUUACACAUGCAAGUCGAACGGCAGCGCGGGCUUCGGCCUGGCGGCGAGUGGCGAACGGGUGAGUAAUGCAUCGGAACGUGCCCAGUAGUGGGGGAUAGCCCGGCGAAAGCCGGAUUAAUACCGCAUACGACCUGAGGGUGAAAGCGGGGGACCGAAAGGCCUCGCGCUAUUGGAGCGGCCGAUGUCGGAUUAGCUAGUUGGUGGGGUACAGGCUUACCAAGGCGACGAUCCGUAGCUGGUCUGAGAGGACGACCAGCCACACGGGGACUGAGACACGGCCCAGACUCCUACGGGAGGCAGCAGUGGGGAAUUUUGGACAAUGGGGGCAACCCUGAUCCAGCCAUGCCGCGUGAGGGAAGAAGGCCUUCGGGUUGUAAACCGCUUUUGUUCGGGAAGAAAUCCUCUGGGCUAAUACCCCGGGGGGAUGACGGUACCGGAAGAAUAAGCACCGGCUAACUACGUG